RNAcentral lists this unclassified non-coding RNA (316 nucleotides) under Hevea brasiliensis (rubber tree). The record is from RNAcentral. Lineage: Eukaryota; Viridiplantae; Streptophyta; Magnoliopsida; Malpighiales; Euphorbiaceae.
UCCGUUUAUUUUUUUUUUUUUUCUCCCUUUUUGCUUUCUUGUGAGGGAAGGUGGUGACUCAAGGAUGAACCCUAGAAAGAGAGAGAGAAAGAGACAGAGAGGCAGUUUCUUGUUUUUCAGGUGAGCAGGGAUAGUGUAUCCCCUUGAAAUGGAAAAGUAUGGAAGCUUUGUUCUUAUCCACUUUGCCCCUACAAGAGUGGAUAUUUCUUGUGAAAAUGAAACACAAGAAUAACCAAAAAGGGAUCAGUAGGCAAGAAUUUGCAUGGCUUCCCAGUCUUCUUCACGAUAAAUGCUAUUGAGAGAGAGAGAGAGAGAG